This 712-nucleotide ribosomal RNA is filed under the name uncultured bacterium. RNAcentral's name for it is "bacterial SSU rRNA". It matches the Rfam family "Bacterial small subunit ribosomal RNA", at positions 56 to 777 of the family's 1533-position model. The record is from RNAcentral.
UGCAGUCGAACGGUGAUAUUUAUAUCAUAGUGGCGCACGGGUGCGUAACACGUAUGCAACCUACCUAUUAUUGGGGGAUAGCCUUUGGAAACGGAGAUUAAUACCGCAUAAUACGAUUAACUGGCAUCGGUUGAUUGUUAAAGCAUUUGCGAUAAUAGAUGGGCAUGCGUCCAAUUAGUUAGUUGGUGUGGUAAUGGCUCACCAAGACGAUGAUUGGUAGGGGAUCUGAGAGGAUAAUCCCCCACACUGGCACUGAGAUACGGGCCAGACUCCUACGGGAGGCAGCAGUAGGGAAUAUUGGGCAAUGGGCGAAAGCCUGACCCAGCCAUGCCGCGUGCAGGAAGACGGCGUUAUGCGUUGUAAACUGCUUUUUUAUAGGAAGAAGGAUCCCUUGCGAGGGAAGGUGACGGUACUAUAAGAAUAAGCACCGGCUAACUCCGUGCCAGCAGCCGCGGUAAUACGGAGGGUGCAAGCGUUGUCCGGAUUUAUUGGGUUUAAAGGGUGCGUAGGCGGUUUAUUAAGUCAGUGGUGAAAGACGGUCGCUCAACGAUUGCAGUGCCAUUGAUACUGGUAGACUUGAGUGAGAUUGAGGUAGCUGGAAUGGAUAGUGUAGCGGUGAAAUGCAUAGAUAUUAUCCAGAACACCGAUUGCGAAGGCAGGUUACUAAGUCUUAACUGACGCUGAGGCACGAAAGUGUGGGGAUCAAACAGGA